AAAUACAAAAGCAAUCAGUUGUCAAGAAUUGGAACAGGCUGUCUGGAGAAGUGGUUGAGUCACCAUCCCUGGAGGUAUUUAAAAGAUGUGUAGAUGUGGCACGUAGGGACAUGGUUUAGU
Molecule: long non-coding RNA, 120 nt
Organism: Athene cunicularia (burrowing owl)
Lineage: Eukaryota; Metazoa; Chordata; Aves; Strigiformes; Strigidae
Exons: 3
Source: RefSeq, a predicted model, not a curated record